AGUGAACGCUGGCGGUAGGCCUAACACAUGCAAGUCGAACGGCAGCACAGUAAGAGCUUGCUCUUACGGGUGGCGAGUGGCGGACGGGUGAGGAAUACAUCGGAAUCUACUUUUUCGUGGGGGAUAACGUAGGGAAACUUACGCUAAUACCGCAUACGACCUACGGGUGAAAGCAGGGGAUCUUCGGACCUUGCGCGAUUGAAUGAGCCGAUGUCGGAUUAGCUAGUUGGCGGGGUAAAGGCCCACCAAGGCGACGAUCCGUAGCUGGUCUGAGAGGAUGAUCAGCCACACUGGAACGGAGACACGGUCCAGACUCCUGCGGGAGGCAGCAGUGGGGAAUAUUGGACAAUGGGCGCAAGCCUGAUCCAGCCAUACCGCGUGGGUGAAGAAGGCCUUCGGGUUGUAAAGCCCUUUUGUUGGGAAGGAAAAGCAGCAGGUUAAUACCCCGCUGUUCUGACGGUACCCAAAGAAUAAGCACCGGCUAACUUCGUG
This 492-nucleotide ribosomal RNA is filed under the name uncultured bacterium. RNAcentral describes it as "partial 16S ribosomal RNA". It matches the Rfam family "Bacterial small subunit ribosomal RNA", at positions 29 to 507 of the family's 1533-position model. The record is from RNAcentral.